AUGGAUCCAGUAGAGGUGCUCAAUGUUAGGUUUCACUAUGGAGGGCAGUUUAUUCGUAUUGGGUCAUCUCUUGAUUAUGUUGGGCGAGAUACUGCAAUGUCACAGAUAGAGAGGGAUAAGUUGUCACUGCCAGAGCUCAGAGGAUAUUUAGGAGAUCAUUUGACAGUCAAAGACAUCAUGAAGUUGUAUUUUCUAAUGCCAGGAAGAGAGUUGGUUAAUGGACUAGUGUUUCUAUACACUGAUGAAGGUUGCCUGAAGAUGUCAGAGUACAUUACAGAUGGAGGGGUUGCUGAUGUUUUUGUGGAGUACAAUGGUGAGCAAGAUGAACCAGAGGCAGAAGAUAGUGGCUCUGAUUUUGAAGAAGAU
RNAcentral lists this ribosomal RNA (366 nucleotides) under Triticum aestivum (bread wheat). Its description in RNAcentral is "partial small subunit ribosomal RNA". Lineage: Eukaryota; Viridiplantae; Streptophyta; Magnoliopsida; Poales; Poaceae. The record is from RNAcentral.